RNAcentral lists this unclassified non-coding RNA (244 nucleotides) under plant metagenome. RNAcentral's name for it is "partial contains small subunit ribosomal RNA, internal transcribed spacer 1, and 5.8S ribosomal RNA". The stretch from base 1 to 54 matches the Rfam family "Eukaryotic small subunit ribosomal RNA", at positions 1778 to 1831 of the family's 1831-position model. The record is from RNAcentral.
GGAAGCAAAAGUCGUAACAAGGUUUCCGUAGGUGAACCUGCGGAAGGAUCAUUACAAAUCGGUUUGUGGUAGUGGGGGAGGGGAGGUUUGUUGGGUGUGGUGGGGUUGUGUCGCAAGAUGCACCUCGGCACUCCAACACUACCACCUAACCCCUACUCAUCCACUCACAUUUGCGCUUGUUGUGUUUGACAGAGUAAGCUAUCUACAAAUGAGACAACUUUUAACAAUGGAUCUCUUGGCUCUU